UGGGGAAUAUUGGACAAUGGGCGGAAGCCUGAUCCAGCCAUGCCGCGUGUGUGAAGAAGGCCUUUUGGUUGUAAAGCACUUUAAGCGAGGAGGAGGCCACUUGGAUUAAUACUCUAGGAUAGUGGACGUUACUCGCAGAAUAAGCACCGGCUAACUCUGUGCCAGCAGCCGCGGUAAUACAGAGGGUGCGAGCGUUAAUCGGAUUUACUGGGCGUAAAGCGUGCGUAGGCGGCUUCUUAAGUCGGAUGUGAAAUCCCUGAGCUUAACUUAGGAAUUGCAUUCGAUACUGGGAAGCUAGAGUAUGGGGGAGGAUGGUAGAAUUCCAGGUGUAGCGGUGAAAUGCGUAGAGAUCUGGAGGAAUACCGAUGGCGAAGGCAGCCAUCUGGCCUAAUACUGACGCUGAGGUACGAAAGCAUGGGGAGCAAACAGG
Molecule: ribosomal RNA, 430 nt
Filed under: Bacillota bacterium
Lineage: Bacteria; Bacillati; Bacillota
Description: Firmicutes bacterium partial 16S ribosomal RNA
Rfam family: Bacterial small subunit ribosomal RNA
Source: RNAcentral